UUCCGGCGUCACAGACGGUCUUUAGGAGCGACUCGUGGGCGUUAAGACUGGGCUCAGUUUGUGGCGCGCCUAGUGAUGGGAUGGCGCUGUGCAGGACGCCGACACAAAAAGAUGAAGCGUUCAACCCGUGCUGUCUGAACUCACAGUGUAGUGGGCGAGAUAGACGGGAGAAUCGGUAGGGUGGGAGAUGCCGGAAAGGCUUUCCGUGAGACUGGAUAAGAAAUCAAAAAUCUGGUGAAAUUGGCGGCAGGAGGGAGUUAAGGACAUUCCAGGCAGAGGCAAGGGAACUGCCUUCAGCUCCCUGCAACAGAAGAACCCAAAAGGGUGGACCUGAAGGAGGAGGGCUGCAGGCAUUCGCCUCAGCGGAGAGGCUGCUCUGUGGAGGGGACGCAUGGUGGCUGAGCACUGUUCCAGCCGACCACCCUGUGCUUCUGCAUUGAGGAUGAGGAUGCCGAGGUCAUGGGAUUUAUCCAACAGACUUGGUGAAUUCAGUAGUCUGGGCUACAGUGAUCGUCUAAUCAGUAAUAGAAAUCAGUAAUAGUAAUAGAAUAAGAGGAGAAUUCCUCAUAUUCCUAAAGAUAUACUGAACCCUCCUCCCGACCCCCACCCAAUAAAGCUCAGCCACAAACACAUCAGCUCCUAAUGUCUUACUGGUGAAUACACACCGUUCAAUUUUAUUGUUUCUGUACCAACUCAUCCGCUUGACAAGCUGAGAGUUCUGUCAUGCAAUUCAUUCCUCCACAGGGAGGGAUCUUAGCACAGCAGCAAGGGAAGCCUUGUCCCUGGGAAGCUAUAGACCUCAUUGUUUCAGAAAGCAUUCCAGAUGGUUCUGCUGGAGUUGGCUUCCCUUUAUGAGAGCCCUUCCUGAGAAGGCAGAAAGUUGGCCCCAUAGAGAAGAAAAGGACCCCCAAGACUGUGCAAGUCAGUCAUAUCCAGAGCAUCCCUCUCACCCUGGAACCAGCAGCCAAUAGUUUUACCUCAUAGGACUCCUCGUCACCAGCCACCAUGCCCACAGUCUUUAUGAAGGGGUGGCCAGGGUUGUCCACUCCAGUCUGGAUGCACUGGUCCAGGGUGUAGCCAUUGGGCGUCACCUUGUUGCGAAGCUUGGCAUAGAUGGCGGGGGUGAGGCACUCGGCCAUGCAGUUGUUGUGCUUGCGCAGGUCUGGGUAGUCUGCACUGUGUGGGGAGGAGGGCAGGCUGUCAGCCAGCAGCCCCUGAGGAAAGGGUCCAAUGGAAGGACUUAUUGUUUGCCCAUCCUUCCACUAGGCUCCCUUCAGCCAGUGGGCACGGGGAUACUUGGCUAGAACUGCCGAGGAGUCAUAAAUGAAUACACCAGGUUUCAAAAAAUAAGCAAGCUCCACGAGAGCGGGGACUUUGCCUUUUUGAAAAACAGUCCCUGGCUAUUGAAACCAGUGUUCAGUAAACAUCUGUUGGAAUAAUAGAAAUCAAAUUGGGUGCUGUCUCACCCUGGGGUGUGUACUGAUUGAGGAAUAGGAGAUAUAGGACAACCACAACCUCAAACACAAGUCAUGUCACCUCAGGAAUUCCCAAGGUACGUGGGGGUUGCUGGCAAUUCCCUCAGAGAUCCUGAUUUCCAUAAGAGACAGUAAAUGUCUCAGAGACACCUCAGUGGUUUUCCUCAUCUCUCUCAUCCAUACCUGCCUAUGUGGAAUUCUGCAUGCCACUCAAACUCUGCUCAGCGCAUGGUAUCUCAUCCAUGGCAGGGUUCCAAGGGCUGAGAAAACACGUUAUUUUCAUCCCUCUCACGCCACUCCUCCACUUUCCAUCUGCAGUGUCCUUUAGAGCUGAUACUUAAAGUCAGUACUACGAUAUCCCUUUUUCCAGAAGGUGGUAGAGCAGUGAGAGGGGCAUGGGUCUGGAAUCAGGGGGCCUGGAUUUGCAUUUGGCUGUACUAGCUAUGUGAACUUGGGCACUGUUUAAUUUUUCUAGGCCUUCAUUUCAUCACAGAAGGAUCCUAAGAUGAAUAACAGAUACUCCAUGUAAAGUGCUGGUCAUACAUAAAAGUGCUCCACAAAUGUUAACUAUCCCCAUUAUUACUAUUCAACUGGACUGCAAGCUCUAAGCAAGAAUGAUGAUGCUAUACUUCUUUGUAUACACCACAGGUCACUGGCUUAAUGAGUCUCAAAAUGAUUUUCGGUUUUACUUAGUCAUCCUCAAAGGCAAAAAGAAGGACCCUUGCUAACAGUUUCCAGCAGGGGAAAGCAUAUUUCUUGCUGGUCUUUGAAGCUUUUUUGUUUUUGUUUUUGUUUUGUUUUGUUUUGAGACGGAGUCUUGCUCUGUUGCCAGGCUGGAGUGCAGCGGUGCGAUCUCGGCUUACUACAACCUCCACUUCCCGGGUUCAAGCGACUCUCCUGCCUCAGCCUCCCAAGUAGCUGGGACUACAGGCAUGCGCCACUAUACCCAGCUAAUUUUUUUGUAUUUUUAGUAGAGAUGGGGUUUCACCAUGUUGGCCAGGAUGGUCUCGAUCUCUUGACCUCAUGAUCUGGCCUUCCAAAGUUCAGGGAUUACAUGCAUGAGCCACCGAGCCCGGCCUGAGGUUAUUUUAAAGUCAGGAACUCUUACCUUGGAGGAAAUAGCCUAGGCUGCUCCCUGACCUCGGCACACACUUUCUGCUGGUUCAGCAGGUACCCGGUGGUCAGGACACUGGUGCCCAUGGUAGCAAACAGCAGAGAAGCAUUGCGGCCAGUUAGCAACUUAGAAAAGAUACUGGCCAUCCUUCCUCUUGGAUGAGUGUCUGGAAAGCAAAGAAGCUGGAUUAGAUAGUUUCAUAGGAUGACCCUGAGCCACAACAUAGGGGUCAACGGGCAAGAGAACUGCAGGAGCCAUAGCCUCUCUUUCCGGUGUCUCUGUCUCUGUCUCUCUGUCUCUUUCUCUGUGUGUGUGUGUGUAUGUGUGUGUGUGUGUGUUUUCCAUUUCUUGCUUUGCUUUUUUCUUCAUAUUGCUUGGGAAAAUCUGGGUAGUUUUAGACAUAAUGUCUAAACUUCCUGAACUCCAUGCCUUUUCUCUGUUAAUAUGAUAAAAAAUAAACAGCAGCAGAGGAUGUCUUCUUCCAGCUAUUUGACAGACCAUGUGCUCUUUUGAACUUUGCCACUGCAUCACAACUAGACCCUGAACAGGAUGGAUUUCUGGACUUCUGAAAGUUGGUCCUUGCUGGCUGAUCCAGCUUCCCCGUCAGCAUAUGGUGAGCAGUUCGGUGAGAGGACCACACUUCCAAUACUGGCAGAUGAAGCCAGAUACUCCUCUAUGAAGUUAAAUGACUGGUUCAGUGUUACACUGCUAGUGAGCGACAGAGAUGGAAUUUGAAUGCACACCUGUCUGACUCCACCUCACGUGUUCUUUCCACAUGGCCAGCAAGCUCUGCUGUCCCACCUCGCACUUCUGGGAGGUGGCUACUCCCUCUUUCCACCCCUUUUUCUGGAUCUUGACAAGGGAUUCUGCCCUGCCCCAGCUGUCAAAGCCUGCAGCAGCUGCCAAAAAACCUCAACACAGGCAUACUUUGGACCUACAUCAUGUGUUGGUGUCACAGAUGCUGUACCAGGCAUUUGACUCCUUGAUCUAAAGCCAGGAUUCCUGGCCAACAUGGCGAAACCCUGUCUCUACUAAAAAUAACAAAAAUUAGCUGGGCAUGGUGGUAGGUGCCUGUAAUCCCAGCUACUUGGGAGGCUGAGGCAGGAGAAUUACUUGAACCCAGGAAGCGAAGGCUGCAGUGAGCAGAGAUUGUGCCUCUGCACUACAGCCUGGGCUAUGGAGUAAGACUCUGUCUCAAAAAAAAAAAAAAAUAGUGAGGGGGAUACAUGCCCACACAAAGGAAUCCUGACAGAGGAACAAUGGCUUGGUCCGUUUCCCCUCCUGUGUAGCACUGUGAUAAAGGAAAGCCUUUCAGGUAUGUGCCUUGAUGGAGCCGGUGGGUGGAAGAGGAAGGGCAGUGAGAGGUUUGAGGACAAGCCGCUGAUACCCUCAUGUAUCAUCACAGUGGUGCCCUUUGGGAGCCUGCUUUGGUAUACUCGUCCACUCAGGGAAGAGGAAGUCUCUUAUCCACAAUUUUGUCUUUAAGAUUGAAAUUUCUUUGAGCAGAGCCUAAAAGAGAGUUGCCUCAUUUCGUGUAACUGUAGCGUAUGUAGUUUAGAGGCUCCAAUGUGUUUUUGAGGCAAUCCGAGAGCUCUUUCUGGAAAUCCCGGGCAGAUGACAUCUGCGUCUGAUUUUACUUUGUCUUACAACCAGGCUAAGACCUCCAGCAUCAUCAGACUGUCGAACUGCUCAGGUCAAGGCAGACAGGUAGAAAGGCCCACAUAGAUAGUGGUUACUCAUCCCAAGAACACAGAGGCCCACACCAGGAAGGGGCAGGUGAUGUUAAUGAUGAGGCAGGCAAUUAUAUCUUGCGAUUUCUAUGAGCCAUGAUGCAUUACACUAAGGAACUUUACCUCACUUGGCUUGUGACUUUUGUUAGUGAGAAAUGGCCUGCUGGCCUAUGCUGUGGAGGACUUGCAGAAAACUUCCCAGCCACCGGCAGAAGGUUGACGUCUCCCCUGGUUCCUCCCCAACCCGUUUAGUGUGAAACGGGACAAAGGGAAACAUUUCCUUUGAUCUAUUUUUGGGGAAAGAGGCAAAUAUCAACUAAAUAAGAUUGUAUUAGGGACUGGGUGUGGUGGCUUAUGCCUGUAAUCCCAGCACUUUGGGAGGCCAAGGUGGGCGGAUCAUCUGAGGUCAGGAGUUAGAGACCAGCCUGGCCAACAUGGCAAAACCCCAUCUCUACUAAAAAUACAAAAAAUAUUAGCCAGGUGUGGUAGCACAUGCCUGUAAUCCCAGCCACUUGGGAGGCUGAGGCACGAGAAUCGCUUGAACCCAGGAGGCGGAGGUUGCAGUGAGGCGAGAUCACACCACUGCACUCCAGCAUCCUGGGUGAUAGAGACUUGUCUCAAAAAAAAAAAAAAAAAAAAAAAAUCCUAUUAAGAAUUUCAUGAAGGCUCACACAGUUCUUGCACACAUCAUUCAAGGCCUGUUAUGGGGGCCCAGAACAUCAGGACACAGUAGCUAGCCUCACAUUCAGCUCCAUUGCACCAGAGCUUCGCAUUAUCUCAAUUUGAAAAACACACAUGUAUAUCCUACAUUUGUAUCUCUAUUCUAUACUGUAUAUGACUUUUAAAAAUACUGGUUUGCUGUUUCUAUUUUGUGCUAAUGCAACAAAUCUAAUUUGUUUUAGAAACAGUUAUUACUGUUUCUUGCUUCUUAUCACCCCCUACCGUUUGGACUUUGUUGUCCAUCUUUCUCUGCCUAAUUGGACCACAGCCUGGUGCCUCAAUCCACACAAAGUCUGUUCCCUUCUAGCUCAAGAUGGCUGCAUUCUCUCUCAGUUCACAGUGCACUCACGGGCUGCUCAUUCAUCUGCCCUUGUGCUCUGUGCCUUUUUGGCAUCUGCGGGUAAAGUCAGUGCCACAUAUCUCUAUCCUGUUAACUCCUAAAGUUUGUAUUGUCUUCCCAAGGGACCUCUCUUAUGGCCCUGCUGGGCUUCUCCCCUUACCCACACGUGCCAAGCAUAGAAAUCAAGGCAACAUUCUCAACCAGGUACCUAGCUAGUCCUACAACCAGCAAUUAGGGAAGUUUACGAAUAACCUGCUAAAUAAGAAGAUAAUAACUUAAAAGCCACCCAAGUAAGUCAGAGUCACAAAAUGUUUUAUUCCCUGUAGAAACUAAAGAUAGCAUCUUGACGUAUGCCCUUGCAUUGCUUUUCAGAAACCAAUUCCCACACCAGAUAGAAAAUGCUGACCACUGUCAUAGAACUCAGACAGACUGAAACUAAAAAAUAGAUAAGGAAGUUCCAGAAAUUCCCGAGCUCUUAACUCAUUUUGGAUACCCCCUCACUCCUGCUUUAAAAACCCUUGCUUAUAAGCUAGCAGGGAGCUCAGGUGUUGAGUGCUAGGUACCCAUUCUUCUUGCUUGGCACCCAGCAAUAAACGCCUUUUUCUCACUACAAAUCCCAGCGUCAAUGUUUGGCUUUUCUGGCAUGCUGGGCAACCAGAACCAAGCCCAUCUUGUGUGCCUGUAUCCAAUUCUGAUGAGCCUAUGUAUGUCAAGUUGGUCGAGGCCCUUUGUGCUGAACACCAAAUCAACCUAAUUAAGGUUGAUGACAAGAACCUAGGGGAAUGAGUAGGUGGCCUCUGUAAAAUUGACAGCGAGGGGAAACCCUGUAAAGUGGUUGGUUGCAGUUGUGUAGUAGUUAAGGACUAUGGCAAGGAGUCUCAGCCCAAGGAUGUCAUCAAAGAGUACUUCAAAUGCAAGAAAUGAACAAAUCUUUGGCUCAGAAAAAAAAACAAACAAAAAGCCCACAAACUUUUGAAUGAGAUCUACUUAUAUGAUGUGACACACAUUUCUUUCAGACAUGGAUUUUGAAAUCCUAUCGAUAAAAGCCACCAAGUGAGACUGACAGUUCUGGUUUUGAGCAUGUACCUGCUCCGUUUCCUGGUAUCUGCAAAUUAGGGUGGCCCAGUGCAGGCUCCUGACCUUUUGACCAUGACAGGCUGUCUGAACCCUGGGAGCUCUUGUGCCCAUCCUCAGAGAUGUCCGUGUGUGACACAGCAGAGACUACCCCACAGAUAACAGACGAAAGCCAGCAGAGUACAAGGCAUAAAUGUGCAUGUCCUUCUAUUUCUUUUUUUUUUUUUUUUUUUUUUAGAGGUUCUGACUGAGCAGGCAGAUUGAGAAGGAAGAAUCACAUGAGGAGCAAGUGCUAGGUGUUGGGGAAACGAUUUAAAUUUCCUCCCACCCCAGAAAUUCCUCUCCAUAAAAUAUAGGAGAAAGAAAAUAUUUUAUUAUUGAAUAAACAUUAAAGUAGUGAUGCACGUCUUUAGCAUUCUGCUGAGGAGAUUGCAAAGACAGACAUCCCACCCUUUUAUGCAGGCAAGCAAAUAGGACCCAUUCAUUACAUACAUGUUCUCGAACUAAAGAGGACUUGACAGCACCAUUUGUCAAGCAUAAUUCAUCCUAAAUUCACCUGGUGACCAUUUGUGUUCGCUAAUUGCCUUUAUCAAAAGGAAAAAUAAAAGUCAAGUUUCUAGGACAGCAGGUAGUUUUACAACUUGGAGCCAGGUGCUUAAAUGAAACUACUACCCACUGCCCUCCCACUGACAGUGGGAGGUAGGGAGCUAUCUUCCUUGUUGUCUACAUUUUCAAAGAGAUGUUUUCUAGGCCCUUGCAGGAAAAGAGUCCUAGGUUGUAAAAUCGACUGGAGCCUUACUUAGCUUUUAAAAAGAUUUAUAUACAUUUCAAAGGGGCAGCAAAAUAAUUUAUAAGUUUUCUAAAGGAAAUGCUCUAAGAAAAAGGAGGAAGCUCUCCCCUUUUUGCAUGGGCUUAUGGGAUAACAUUCUGGAAUUCACGAGAAGCAGGAAUUGGUUUCCUCCCUCCACAUGCUGGAAGGCACAGUGCAAGAAGCUUGGCAAGGCUCCAGUCAGGGGUGGACAAUCACUGGGAAUUCCAUGCAUCAAAGGGACAAGGGACAAUCACUGGGUCCAUCCUACACUUCAGAGGGACAAGACCCAAUGAAUGUAGAACUGGGCCACAGUUUGUCUUGGUUCUAAAGCACGCUGGCCCACACAUGAUAGGUUAUCAUUAAAUGUCUGAUGAGUGAGUGAAUGAAUGUCAGGAACCUGAGAGGCUUUAGAGGUCAUUUACCUCAGCUGAAAUUCAGGCAUCCCUUUCCCUCAGCCUCCUUAAAUACCAGCAGUCCUGGGGAUCCCACCACUUGCCAAAGCAACCCAUUUUACUGUUGGAUAACUGUAAUUACUAUAACAUUUUUUAUAUCUGAAUAAGGAGAGAAAACAAAAUCCGAGUGCUUUCAAGGGUGGGGUACUUUUUUCAAAACGAUCCCAAGAAGCAGGUAUCCCAUGUCACAGAGGAGGGAACUCAAAAACAGAGACAUUAACUAACAGCCCAAGUUCACACAGCUAAAGGGAAAUCAUAUGUAUCAAGUGUCUGUUCUGCACCAGGCACUCAUUUAAAUAAAGAUCCUUUCACUCACAAUAGUUUACCAUACAAAUAUUACAGCAUGUCUAGAUGGGGUCUUAACCAUACCAAAGUAUUAUAUUGCAUGCCUCCGUCUGCCCUGGGACUAGGACCAGGUCACACAUUGCAAAGGAUUUGAGUGGAAACAAUGAAUAGACCCCUGCACACUCACGUGUAUCAAUGGAGGACUACGGAUGCCGUGUGCCCCCAUUCCUCUGGGCCAUUGUCACUAACCCUUUGUCUCCCAAGGAAUGGAGCUGCCAGAGUUCCAGCUGCCUCAGAUACUCCCUGGUCUCUCAGGUAUGCUGAGUGUUUUCCCUCAAGCACAGUUUCCAUAGGCAGAUGCCGAGGGGAGGCUAAGUAUGGGGCCAAAAUGCCCCAGCACACAGGUGUCAUUCCGGGCAGCACUGAGGGGAAGCAGAACCAGGGGAUGACUCUUGGGACCUUCCUUCUCAGGAACACCACUCACUAUAGGCUUCCAGGUGGUCAGCGGGUCAUGUGAGUCAAGGGCAAGUGAGUGAAUGACACUGAUAUGUUUCAGGUAGGGAGAAGCCAUGGUGGGCAGCAUUGGAGGGAGGGGAAAGAGGGGGCGAGGAGGGGGUAGAGAUAUGUAUUUUUCUACUUAUUCAUCUGAGGACUAUUUACCUACUAUAUGGCAGCUUUUCCAGAGUCCUUAGUCUGAGGAAAAAACCCUAUGUGCUCAUGUUAUUCCCAUUUUACAAGUGAGCAGAUACAGGGAGACAAAGGCAAAAUAACUCGCCCAGGACCACAUGGUUUGUGAGUGGCAGCCCUGAGAUUCUGGCCAGCAGUCAUAGUCCACACUCUUAACCAGGGCCGUCUGCUGGGCAACUAGAAGUUGUGUGUGAUUUGUGCUCUACUUGGGGAGCCAGAGCCUGUUGGGGGGUCCUGGGAGGGCAUGGUCAGCUAUGGGACGGACCAUUCAACAAUGUUGUUUGAGGAGCCUUGUCAGGUCUUAACCAUACCAAAGUAUUGUAUUGCAUGCCUCCACCUGCCCUGGGACUAGGACAGGUCACACACUGCAAAGGAUUCGAGUGGAAACAAUGAAUAGACCUCUGCACACCCAUGUGCAUCAGUGGAGGACGAUGGAUGCCGCGUGCCCCCACUCCUCCCUCCCCAAAGCUGCUUUCCAGGCAUCUUCCAGCUGGGGAAAUGGCCAUUCCCCUCAGCCCAGAGCAGACUUAGCCUGUCCUUGAAUGCUGCCAAAAAAAAAAAAAAAGGGCUAAAUGUGUCCCCUGUUCUAUUCCUA
Molecule: long non-coding RNA, 9283 nt
Organism: Pongo pygmaeus (Bornean orangutan)
Lineage: Eukaryota; Metazoa; Chordata; Mammalia; Primates; Hominidae
Exons: 4
Source: RefSeq, a predicted model, not a curated record